Molecule: unclassified non-coding RNA, 347 nt
Filed under: soil metagenome
Description: partial contains 5.8S ribosomal RNA, internal transcribed spacer 2, and large subunit ribosomal RNA
Rfam family: 5.8S ribosomal RNA (bases 1-120)
Source: RNAcentral
GAUGAAGAACGCAGCGAAAUGCGACAAGUAAUGUGAAUUGCAGAAUUCAGUGAAUCAUCGAGUCUUUGAACGCACAUUGCGCCCCCUGGUAUUCCGGGGGGCAUGCCUGUCCGAGCGUCAUUGCUGCCCUCAAGCACGGCUUGUGUGUUGGGCCGUCGUCCCCCUCCUAGGGGACGGGCCCGAAAGGCAGCGGCGGCACCGCGUCCGGUCCUCGAGCGUAUGGGGCUUCGUCACCCGCUCCGUAGGCCCGGCCGGCGCUUGCCGACGACCAUCAAUCUCUUUCUCCAGGUUGACCUCGGAUCAGGUAGGGAUACCCGCUGAACUUAAGCAUAUCAAUAAGCGGAGGA